Molecule: ribosomal RNA, 502 nt
Filed under: uncultured bacterium
Lineage: Bacteria
Description: partial 16S ribosomal RNA
Rfam family: Bacterial small subunit ribosomal RNA
Source: RNAcentral
GAUGAACGCUAGCGGCAGGCCUAAUACAUGCAAGUCGAGGGGUAGAGGAAGCUUGCUUCCUUGAGACCGGCGCACGGGUGCGUAACGCGUAUGCAACCUACCCUUUUCUGGGGGAUAGCCCGAAGAAAUUCGGAUUAAUACCGCAUAAGACCACGAUUCGGCAUCGAGAUGGGGUCAAACAUUUAUGGGAGAAGGAUGGGCAUGCGUGCCAUUAGCUAGUUGGCGGGGUAACGGCCCACCAAGGCGACGAUGGCUAGGGGAUCUGAGAGGAUGGACCGCCACACCGGUACUGAGACACGGACCAGACCCCUAACGGAGGCAGGCGUAAGGAAUAUAGGUCAAUUGAGCCAACUCUGAACCAGCCAUGCCGCGUGCAGGAAGACGGCCCUCUGGGUUGUAAACUGCUUUUGUACGGAGCGAAAAGGCUCACUCUAAUACAGGGGUCUCAUGACGGUACCGUAAGAAUAAGCACCGGCUAACUACGUGCCAGCCGCCGCCGUAA